UACGUAGGGGGCUAGCGUUGUCCGGAAUUAUUGGGCGUAAAGAGCUCGUAGGCGGCUUGUCACGUCGGGUGUGAAAGCCCGGGGCUUAACCCCGGGUCUGCAUUCGAUACGGGCUAGCUAGAGUGUGGUAGGGGAGAUCGGAAUUCCUGGUGUAGCGGUGAAAUGCGCAGAUAUCAGGAGGAACACCGGUGGCGAAGGCGGAUCUCUGGGCCAUUACUGACGCUGAGGAGCGAAAGCGUGGGGAGCGAACAGG
This 253-nucleotide ribosomal RNA is filed under the name uncultured bacterium. Its description in RNAcentral is "partial 16S ribosomal RNA". It matches the Rfam family "Bacterial small subunit ribosomal RNA", at positions 524 to 776 of the family's 1533-position model. The record is from RNAcentral.